CUCCCACACAUGCAAACUCCACACAGUAAGGCCAGGCCGGACCCAGAACAGAGGACCUUCUUGUUGUGAGGCGACAGUGCUACCCCCUGCACCACCAUGCUGCCCUGGUCUGAGAAAUUGAUGGGAUAAAUUUACCGACGCGCAGUCGACGUGACAGUUUGGAAACGCAGAACUUCGUUGUUCACAGGGAUGAGAAGGAUCGAGCUGGACUGAAGAGUGCAACCCCACACAGCCGCAGAAGACAUCUGAUUGGACCAUUCCGCAAGCCUCAGCCCCACCUCUAUCCCUUCCACUAUUCUUUGGGGAUCGUGUACAACUUGUGGAAAAAGAGCCUCCUUCUAUGAAUAAUGGAAAAAAAAUCAUAUAUGCUGUAUAUAUAAUCCCACACAAGUAUUUUAUUUUAGAAGUUCAGGUUUCAAAUGUACAGUGCUAUGCAACUACUCUUUAGGCAAAAAUAGCAGGAAAUAUAAUGCACAGAAAACUGAUUUUGACUCAAAAACACACAGAUGUGAGGAAUUUAGUGUCUGUGCUGGUUUCGCUGGAGUUUGUGGGGUUGGGAAAUAUCCAUGGCUUAUGGCUUAGCUGCUCCUCUGAUCUGGCUUUGCUGUUACUAAUGUGAAAACCUGCCUGCGAGGACUGAUGGUGUACUUUUUAAAAUUAAAAUAUUUUUUCCUGCA
Long non-coding RNA from Anguilla rostrata (American eel), 677 nucleotides. RefSeq lists it as uncharacterized. The record is from RefSeq and is a predicted model, not a curated record. Lineage: Eukaryota; Metazoa; Chordata; Actinopteri; Anguilliformes; Anguillidae. The transcript is spliced from 3 exons.